Molecule: long non-coding RNA, 246 nt
Organism: Amphimedon queenslandica
Lineage: Eukaryota; Metazoa; Porifera; Demospongiae; Haplosclerida; Niphatidae
Exons: 3
Source: RefSeq, a predicted model, not a curated record
AACCAGCAGUAACUGGCUACCACUAGUAAUUGGAGCAGGAGGUGGAGGAUGUGCUGUUGCCAUUUGCAUAUGUUGUACCAUUAUAGUUUGUUUUUGUUGUAGGAGGAGGAGUAGGAGGAAAAAUCCCACAAAAACAGAGGAAGCAGUUGAAUUGUACAGUUACAUCACUAAAAUAACCACAGACUCUGUAGACAAUGAUUACCAUUACAUUGCAGCACCUUUAGUUUGUCAGAAUGAAGCAGCAAU